UGCGGAAAUUGCUACAACUUUUUGCCCAAAUGUGGUAGGAAUUUCCGCACGCAAUACAAAAGUAUACAAAAUUAGCAAAUUUGCAAGGCUAUAUUUUCUGCAUUUUACAACAUUUCGCAACCAAACUUUGCAAUUUUACUAAUUUUAGUAUGCUCUUUCUAGCUGUGGUGAUUUAUUUGCAUCUCCUUGCCUAGUUCUAAAAUUAGUCUAUAAUGGGAAUUGUCUGUUGAUGCCCUGCCGAAAAUCGUGGGUUUUCUCCAGGUACUCCGGUUUUCACCCACAGGGAAUGUUAACAGGGUACCGUAGCUGUGCUCCGUGAUCAGACAUGAGUCAUAAGGUGGCUGCCAGGGGCGCCCUCAGGAAGCCUUCGACUGGAUCAGGUUGAGCUACGUCCGUAGCAAUUCAGCUUAGCUCUCAGCUGCAAGUAAGGAUGAUUAGCACACCACCAAUUACUCACUUAGUUAUUAGUGAUGGAUAGCAGGGCCGUACGCACAUUUUUUCACCCGGGGGACAGCAAUACUUAGGCACUGAAAUAAGUACCCAAAUGUUAAUGCAAUGUUAAUNNNNNNNNNNNNNNNNNNNNGGGGGGGGGGAGUUAGCCAACUCACUUUUACUUCUGUGAUGACUAUACCCCCGUAUUCCCCCGCCCCUGGCAUUUACCGGGGCUUUAUAGCCGGCAAAUGACGAAACGGCAAUUUGGAAUUGGCAGCUUACAAAAUGUUUUACUGAUAAGCUGCCUAACCACUUGAAUAUUAGUGACAACUUUAAGAAGAUACUUAAAGGUGCCCUACAGUCCGUAUGUAAACAAAGCCUUUGUUUACAUAUUUGUGUCCAAAAUAUUGAGCUUUAUUCGACAACUAUUUAUAUUUUCAAGCUUCUAGAGUAUAAUAAAUGAUCAAGAAACAACAAUCGGGCUUUUCAAGAACCAAAAACAUAGUUAAACUGUUUGUAUCAUAAAAAGUGGGCUCCUUUGUGCACAUGCGCAGAUCGGACUGUAGAGCACCUUUAAGUUUUGUGUCACGAUCUAUCUAUGUAUAACUGAUAUCCAAUUACACCCCCCCCCCCCCCCAAUUACGGUCGUGUAAAAUGUGUCAUUCUUUUUUUAUCAGACUUGUGGAAUUGUCCUUGAAACCACAGGCUUCUACAGCGCGGGAAAUCGCGUAUUCUGUCCCGAGCAUUCGCCUAGAACGUAGAUAAUAUUUGGUGGACUGGAAACAACAGACCACUCGACCAAUAGGAGUGGAAAUUUACACUAAGAAUUAUUUAAGUAGUUAUCUAUUGUUUGACAUGAUCUUAGAAGCUUGUGAAUUAGAGAAUAAGUUUUGUUUCGGUGCAUAGGUUUUUAUACCAUUAUCAAAAUACAUUUUGCAAGUAUUUUUCAACAAGUAAAUAGGUUAUUUUCUAUCAAUGAUAUUCGUUCUUCGUUGUUUAUAUAUGUCUAAACGUGAUGUAUAAAUAAUAGAUUCUUUGCUGUGUUGGUGUAAUGUACUCAGGUGAAUAAGAUGCUUGUAUGAUGUUACUCUGAGUGUAUAUCCAUACCGGGCAGGCUUGACAAAUAUGUUUGGCCACGGUGGGAAUCGAACCUACGACCUUUGAAGCGA
Molecule: long non-coding RNA, 1601 nt
Filed under: Paramuricea clavata
Lineage: Eukaryota; Metazoa; Cnidaria; Anthozoa; Malacalcyonacea; Plexauridae
Source: RNAcentral